Molecule: ribosomal RNA, 253 nt
Filed under: uncultured bacterium
Lineage: Bacteria
Description: partial 16S ribosomal RNA
Rfam family: Bacterial small subunit ribosomal RNA
Source: RNAcentral
UACGUAGGGGGCAAGCGUUGUCCGGAUUUAUUGGGCGUAAAGAGCUCGUAGGCGGUUUGUUGCGUCUAUCGUGAAAACCUGCAGCUUAACUGUGGGCUUGCGGUGGAUACGGGCAGACUUGAGUUCGGUAGGGGAGACUGGAAUUCCUGGUGUAGCGGUGAAAUGCGCAGAUAUCAGGAGGAACACCGGUGGCGAAGGCGGGUCUCUGGGCCGAUACUGACGCUGAGGAGCGAAAGCGUGGGGAGCGAACAGG